GCCCCUGUCGUUCAGCUUGGAUAGGACGCCAGGUUGCGGACCUGGAAACCGGAGUUCAAAUCUCCGCAGGGGCG
RNAcentral lists this transfer RNA (74 nucleotides) under Candidatus Woesearchaeota archaeon. Its description in RNAcentral is "tRNA-Arg". It matches the Rfam family "tRNA". Rfam says of the family: Transfer RNA (tRNA) molecules are approximately 80 nucleotides in length. Their secondary structure includes four short double-helical elements and three loops (D, anti-codon, and T loops). RNAcentral also lists the same sequence under 1 other name. The record is from RNAcentral. Lineage: Archaea; Nanobdellati; Candidatus Woesearchaeota.